This 497-nucleotide ribosomal RNA is filed under the name uncultured bacterium. RNAcentral's name for it is "partial 16S ribosomal RNA". It matches the Rfam family "Bacterial small subunit ribosomal RNA", at positions 28 to 507 of the family's 1533-position model. The record is from RNAcentral.
GAUGAACGCUGGCGGCGUGCCUAAUACAUGCAAGUCGAGCGAACGGACGAGAAGCUUGCUUCUCUGAUGUUAGCGGCGGACGGGUGAGUAACACGUGGAUAACCUACCUAUAAGACUGGGAUAACUUCGGGAAACCGUAGCUAAUACCGGAUAAUAUUUUGAACCGCAUGGUUCAAAAGUGAAAGACGGUCUUGCUGUCACUUAUAGAUGGAUCCGCGCUGCAUUAGCUAGUUGGUAAGGUAACGGCUUACCAAGGCAACGAUGCAUAGCCGACCUGAGAGGGGGAUCGGCCACACUGGAACUGGGACACGGUCCAGACUCCUACGGGAGGCAGCAGUAGGGAAUCUUCCGCAAUGGGCGAAAACCUGACGGAGCAACGCCGCGUGAGUGAUGAAGGUCUUCGGAUCGUAAAACUCUGUUAUUAGGGAAGAACAUAUGUGUAAGUAACUGUGCACAGCGUGACGGUACCUAAUCAGAAAGCCACGGCUAACUACGUG